UACGUAGGGGCGAGCGUUGUCCGGAAUUAUUGGGCGUAAAGGGUACGCAGGCGGUUCUUUAAGUCUGAUGUGAAAUCUCACAGCUUAACUGUGAGCGGUCAUUGGAAACUGAGGAACUUGAGUAUAGAAGAGAAGAGUGGAAUUCCAAGUGUAGCGGUGAAAUGCGUAGAUAUUUGGAGGAACACCAGUGGCGAAGGUGACUCUUUGGUCUAUUACUGACACUGAGGCACGAAAGCGUGGGGAGCAAACAGGAUUAGAUAUCCCCGUA
This 268-nucleotide ribosomal RNA is filed under the name uncultured prokaryote. Its description in RNAcentral is "partial 16S ribosomal RNA". It matches the Rfam family "Bacterial small subunit ribosomal RNA", at positions 524 to 792 of the family's 1533-position model. The record is from RNAcentral.